GAUGAACGCUAGCUACAGGCUUAACACAUGCAAGUCGAGGGGAAACGACAUCGAAAGCUUGCUUUUGAUGGGCGUCGACCGGCGCACGGGUGAGUAACGCGUAUCCAACCUGCCCAUCACUUGGGAAUAACCUUGCGAAAGUAAGACUAAUACCCAAUGACAUCCCACGAAGACAUCUGAAUGGGAUUAAAGAUUUAUCGGUGAUGGAUGGGGAUGCGUCUGAUUAGCUUGUUGGCGGGGUAACGGCCCACCAAGGCGACGAUCAGUAGGGGUUCUGAGAGGAAGGUCCCCCACAUUGGAACUGAGACACGGUCCAAACUCCUACGGGAGGCAGCAGUGAGGAAUAUUGGUCAAUGGGCGAGAGCCUGAACCAGCCAAGUAGCGUGCAGGAUGACGGCCCUAUGGGUUGUAAACUGCUUUUAUAAGGGAAUAAAGUGGGUCUCGUGAGACUUUUUGCAUGUACCUUAUGAAUAAGGACCGGCUAAUUCCGUG
RNAcentral lists this ribosomal RNA (492 nucleotides) under uncultured bacterium. RNAcentral's name for it is "partial 16S ribosomal RNA". It matches the Rfam family "Bacterial small subunit ribosomal RNA", at positions 28 to 507 of the family's 1533-position model. The record is from RNAcentral.